UCGUAUCUUCUGAUAUCAUAACAUCGAAGAUAAUCCAUGGGCUAAGAUAAAAGAAAUCGGUUAGGAACCUUCUUACUAAGAAUGCUCUUCAUAUCUUAGUACUAUUCUGUCACUCCUCAUUACUACACUCCAACUAUCUCAAUCUCAUAAGUAUAACGCUACUUAAGUAAUCACUAAUGCUACUCUCGACUUGUCGCUCAUAUAGAACUAAACUACAUCAACAAACAAACACAUAGAUAUGCAUACACAUAAGCAAUAUAAAUCCCAAAUUAGUCAUUGGAAAAACUAAUCAAGUUUAAUAACAUCUAUGCAAUCAUACUUCAAAACUUUUUGUAAAAUCGAAAAAUAUUUUUAGUUGGAGAAAAUUUUCCAAAAAUUUAAUGUAGAAAGUCAAAGACACAUAAUAACACAUUCUUAAAUCAUUUAUCCAAUAAUAAUUCACAUUAACAAGUUAUUCCACUUUAUAAUAUUCUUGAUAAACUAAACUCUAGAUUUCUUCGUUGAAAAUUCUCAAAAAAUUCACAUUAAGCUCACAUAAUACACAAUAGCACAAAUGCGUGAUCAAACGACUUAAGAAAAAUUAAACUCGGCUUCCCCUUUUCUCAUCACAUUUGGUCAAGACCUAAAUCCUUAGGGGUUAGUUCGUUUCGUCUCAUAUCGCAUACAUAAGCUCAAUUAAUCAUCAAAUAGCCAUAUAUAAUCAUAUUCAAGACAUAACUCUUCACAUAUGAAAGAUCUCAUACAAAUUAACGUGCAAACUAAACUCGGUGAACUUUCACCAUUUAACAAUGUUACUCAAUUAAAUCAUGCUAUCAUCCUUUAUAAGGUCCAAUUAGCAUAUAGACAUAAAUAAUCUAAACAUUUACCUCAUAAAUCAAACAUACCCAAAUCUUAGUAAACUAAACUCAAGCAAGUUUAUACAUAUCCAUCAAUUAACUAAAUUGAUCAUUAAUGAAUAGUCCUAUCAUGCUUAUAAUCAAUUAACCUUAGCCAAUUUAAUCAUUUAACACAUAAAUUAAAAAGUCUCAAUUUUAAGUAAACUAAACUUUUUGGAAAUCUUUAAUCAUGCAUAAAUCAUCAAUCAAACUUUAGAUCUAUCAAAUUAUCCCACUUAAUUACAUAUAAAAACCAUCAAUUAGCAAAUUAAAGCAUAUAAGCAAAUUUGCCCAAAUUCUAUCAAACUAACUCACAUCAAACUUCACCAAUCGAUCUCAAUCAUUAAUCCAAUCCAUUAAAUAUCAUAUUAGCAUCCUCAAUAACACAUAUCAAUCAUCAAUUCAUCAAUCAAUACUCAAGAUCAAAAAUUCUCAAAAAUAGGUAAACUAAACUAACUCAAAAUCCAUAAUUCAUUUUAAAUCCUUUCUUUGCAUAUAGAAAUAGACUCAAUAGGAUCCUAAUUGCUUAAAUAUCACCUCAAUUUAAGAAAAGAAAAAGAAUUUUUUUUAAGGGCAUGAACCCUAAUUUUCAAAAAUUUUAAAGAAAUAAAAAGGGUGGUGUUUUCUUGCUUGAUCUAUCCAUAUACACUCAUAUCUAACACAAAUAUAACUAGAUCUAAGAAAUUAGAACACUUACUCAAAGAUUUAGAGAGAAAAUGAAAAUUCUUUACUCUAGACUUCAAGCUUUAAUCUCCACCAAUCUUGGUCUUUGAGGCAUGGAGAUGAGUUUUGAUUUGAUUUUAGGUGGAAAUCUAAGUAUAGAGUUGAUCUUAGAAGCUUUGAAGGUCUCAACAAUGGAGGUUCAUGGAAGAGAAAAGAGAGAGAGAUGCGAGAGAGGUGAGGGGCGUGAGGUAUGAGAGGAGAGAGAGAGAAUUUUGAUUUUGCUUAAUCCUAAAGCUUGCUCC
This 1840-nucleotide long non-coding RNA is filed under the name Salvia miltiorrhiza (redroot sage). RNAcentral's name for it is "long non-coding RNA (SMIL_LNC005027)". Lineage: Eukaryota; Viridiplantae; Streptophyta; Magnoliopsida; Lamiales; Lamiaceae. The record is from RNAcentral.